UACGGAGGGCGCAAGCGUUGUUCGGAAUCACUGGGCGUAAAGCGCGGGUAGGCGGCCGGGCAAGUCGGAUGUGAAAUCCCGAGGCUCAACCUCGGAACUGCAUUCGAAACUGCCCGGCUCGAGUCCCGGAGAGGAUGGCGGAAUUCCCGGUGUAGGGGUGAAAUCCGUAGAUAUCGGGAGGAACACCAGUGGCGAAGGCGGCCAUCUGGACGGUGACUGACGCUGAGACGCGAAAGCGUGGGGAGCAAACAGG
RNAcentral lists this ribosomal RNA (253 nucleotides) under uncultured bacterium. RNAcentral describes it as "partial 16S ribosomal RNA". It matches the Rfam family "Bacterial small subunit ribosomal RNA", at positions 524 to 776 of the family's 1533-position model. The record is from RNAcentral.